This is a non-coding RNA of Vicugna pacos (alpaca), 972 nucleotides long. NCBI's taxonomy places the organism in Eukaryota, Metazoa, Chordata, Mammalia, Artiodactyla, Camelidae. The record is from RefSeq and is a predicted model, not a curated record.
GCCUUGUGGGGCCCCGUGGAUAAGGAUUUCAUGUGAACAGCAGCCCUUGGUUUUGUUUAAGCCACAGGUCUGCCUGUGCCCAGGCUCGGCCCCUGCCCUGCCGGCUGAAGACAGGGAGAAAACAGCCACUGCGCGCACCAGCACACACCCCGGAGGGCCGCGGAGAGGAGGUGGUUCAAGCCGCACCGCAGACCCAAGGGCAAGGUGUUCACCCCAUUCUGCAGGCAUCUUAGAAGUAAAGAUACAGGAACCAAGACCACUAGCCCAUGAGUGCCUUUGUGUGUGUGUGAGGAAAAGCUUCCCUGCUGGGCGACAGAGCCAGGGCACGGGACUUACUGGACACAGCCAGGUCCUGCUGCAGAGUGAGCAACCUGCCCAACAGUACCGGGCAGCCCUGGUGGAGAAAAAAGACCGGAACAGUUGCUGGCAUUGUCCCAGGCACCAGGUACUGCUACAAACAGGACAGCUGGGCCCCUGCCCCGAUGGACUAAUGGACCAGCACAGGAUUCUGGACCAGAGACAUUAAACAACUUGCACAAGAACAGAACCGGCAAGGUUGAACCCAGGUCCUGCUGACCUCUGGUGCACAUGUCUAACCACUGCACUUCCGCCAGCCAAGGCCAGCUCUGGACAGACCUCAGGCUCCCUGCACUCACUGGGUGGUGGAGAACUCCUGGCUCCUCCCAGGAGUCAGGUAGGCCCUGCUUUGCAGGAAGGCCAGGCUCCUGCCAUAGUUGCAUCCCUCCCGGUACAACUGUGAAAAGAGCAUGAAUUCGGGGGAAUCACGAAUCUUCCCAAGGCUCCUGCCUUCAUAAACUGAGGAUAACAACUCUCACCCAAGGGUGAGUGUGAAAAUUAAACAAAGUUCAUUAUAGCAAAUAAGCUCAGUAUGGUUUCUGGUGUAUAGUAAAUGUUCAAUAAAUGCUGCUUGCACAGUGAACAACCUGCCCAACAGUAUCUGGCAGUCCCCUC